AGUUAAGGUGUUAUGAAUAAAAGGACUGAUAAACUUCUUCUGCCUCAUCAAGCUUACAGAAAGAGGCUGGUGUUGAACUCAAGGGCUGAAGCAUCUUAACUAAAUUUCUAAACAGUUGAAAUGGAGAACAGCUUCUUGAUCAAUUUAUUAAUUUCUGGUAGGACUUUAAAGAUUUCAGCAAGAUAUUACAAGAACCGUUACAUCAAUACAAUGAAUAAUAAUAAUAAUAAUACAAUGAAUAUAGUCAACCAUGCAGGCCAAACUAGCUGGAUUCUAUGUCCUUUAUUCAUGAAAUUUCUUUUUAAUGAAAA
Amphimedon queenslandica is the source of this 311-nucleotide long non-coding RNA. RefSeq lists it as uncharacterized. The transcript has 2 exons. Lineage: Eukaryota; Metazoa; Porifera; Demospongiae; Haplosclerida; Niphatidae. The record is from RefSeq and is a predicted model, not a curated record.